GCUGGGUGUGGUGGCGCAUGCCUGUAUUCCCAGCAGCUUUGGAGGCUAACGCAGGAGGAUUGAGAGUUCAAAGUCAGCUUCAGCAAUUU
Molecule: small RNA, 89 nt
Filed under: Marmota monax (woodchuck)
Lineage: Eukaryota; Metazoa; Chordata; Mammalia; Rodentia; Sciuridae
Source: RNAcentral